RNAcentral lists this ribosomal RNA (550 nucleotides) under Staphylococcus agnetis. RNAcentral's name for it is "partial 23S ribosomal RNA". It matches the Rfam family "Bacterial large subunit ribosomal RNA", at positions 2376 to 2925 of the family's 2925-position model. The record is from RNAcentral. Lineage: Bacteria; Bacillati; Bacillota; Bacilli; Caryophanales; Staphylococcaceae.
CGAGACCUACAAGUCGAGCAGGGUCGAAAGACGGACUUAGUGAUCCGGUGGUUCCGCAUGGAAGGGCCAUCGCUCAACGGAUAAAAGCUACCCCGGGGAUAACAGGCUUAUCUCCCCCAAGAGUUCACAUCGACGGGGAGGUUUGGCACCUCGAUGUCGGCUCAUCGCAUCCUGGGGCUGUAGUCGGUCCCAAGGGUUGGGCUGUUCGCCCAUUAAAGCGGUACGCGAGCUGGGUUCAGAACGUCGUGAGACAGUUCGGUCCCUAUCCGUCGUGGGCGUAGGAAAUUUGAGAGGAGCUGUCCUUAGUACGAGAGGACCGGGAUGGACAUACCUCUGGUGUACCAGUUGUCGUGCCAACGGCAUAGCUGGGUAGCUAUGUAUGGACGGGAUAAGUGCUGAAAGCAUCUAAGCAUGAAGCCCCCCUCAAGAUGAGAUUUCCCAACUUCGGUUAUAAGAUCCCUCAAAGAUGAUGAGGUUAAUAGGUUCGAGGUGGAAGCGUAGCGAUACGUGGAGCUGACGAAUACUAAUCGAUCGAAGACUUAAUCAAUUU